CAGUCGCCACGGUAACACGUAGGGUGCAAGCGUUAAUCGGAAUUACUGGGCGUAAAGCGUGCGCAGGCGGUUAUAUAAGACAGAUGUGAAAUCCCCGGGCUCAACCUGGGAACUGCAUUUGUGACUGUAUAGCUAGAGUACGGCAGAGGGGGAUGGAAUUCCGCGUGUAGCAGUGAAAUGCGUAGAUAUGCGGAGGAACACCGAUGGCGAAGGCAAUCCCCUGGGCCUGUACUGACGCUCAUGCACGAAAGCGUGGGGAGCAAACAGGAUUAGAUACCCGAGUAGUCCCUGUCUCUUAUAC
RNAcentral lists this ribosomal RNA (301 nucleotides) under uncultured bacterium. RNAcentral's name for it is "partial 16S ribosomal RNA". It matches the Rfam family "Bacterial small subunit ribosomal RNA", at positions 509 to 807 of the family's 1533-position model. The record is from RNAcentral.